UGAGGAAUAUUGGUCAAUGGACGAGAGUCUGAACCAGCCAAAUCGCGUGAAGGAAGACUGCCCUACGGGUUGUAAACUUCUUUUGUACAGGAAUAAAAGACAUUACGUGUAAUGUAUUGCAUGUACUGUACGAAUAAGCAUCGGCUAACUCCGUG
RNAcentral lists this ribosomal RNA (155 nucleotides) under uncultured bacterium. RNAcentral describes it as "partial 16S ribosomal RNA". It matches the Rfam family "Bacterial small subunit ribosomal RNA", at positions 355 to 507 of the family's 1533-position model. The record is from RNAcentral.